CUACGGGUGGCUCCAGUGAGGAAUAUUGCACAAUGGGGGGAACCCUGAUGCAGCAACGCCGCGUGGAGGAUGACGCAUUUCGGUGUGUAAACUCCUUUUAUAUGUCAAGAAAAUGACGGUAGCAUAUGAAUAAGCACCGGCUAACUCCGUGCCAGCAGCCGCGGUAAUACGGAGGGUGCAAGCGUUACUCGGAAUCACUGGGCGUAAAGGACGCGUAGGCGGGUUGGAAAGUCAGGUGUGAAAUCCUACAGCUUAACUGUAGAACUGCACUUGAAACUUCUAAUCUAGAGUAUGGGAGGGGGAGAUGGAAUUAGUGGUGUAGGGGUAAAAUCCGUAGAUAUCGCUAGGAAUACCUAAAGCGAAGGUGAUCUCCUGGAACAUUAUUGACGCUAAGGCGUGAAAGCGUGGGGAGCAAACAGGAUUAGAUACCCUCGUAGUC
RNAcentral lists this ribosomal RNA (439 nucleotides) under uncultured bacterium. RNAcentral describes it as "partial 16S ribosomal RNA". It matches the Rfam family "Bacterial small subunit ribosomal RNA", at positions 339 to 795 of the family's 1533-position model. The record is from RNAcentral.